Molecule: ribosomal RNA, 253 nt
Filed under: uncultured prokaryote
Description: partial 16S ribosomal RNA
Rfam family: Bacterial small subunit ribosomal RNA
Source: RNAcentral
UACAGAGGGUGCUAGCGUUAAUCGGAAUUACUGGGCGUAAAGCGCGCGUAGGUGGUUAGUUAAGUUGGAUGUGAAAUCCCCGGGCUCAACCUGGGAACUGCAUUCAAAACUGACUGACUAGAGUAUGGUAGAGGGUGGUGGAAUUUCCUGUGUAGCGGUGAAAUGCGUAGAUAUAGGAAGGAACACCAGUGGCGAAGGCGACCACCUGGACUGAUACUGACACUGAGGUGCGAAAGCGUGGGGAGCAAACAGG